This 253-nucleotide ribosomal RNA is filed under the name uncultured bacterium. RNAcentral describes it as "partial 16S ribosomal RNA". It matches the Rfam family "Bacterial small subunit ribosomal RNA", at positions 524 to 776 of the family's 1533-position model. The record is from RNAcentral.
UACAGAGGUCCCAAGCGUUGUUCGGAUUCAUUGGGCGUAAAGGGUGCGUAGGCGGCGCGGUAAGUCGGGGGUGAAAUCUCGGGGCUUAACUCCGAAACUGCAUUCGAUACUGCCGUGCUUGAGGACUGGAGAGGAGACUGGAAUUUACGGUGUAGAGGUGAAAUUCGUAGAUAUCGGGAGGAACACCAGUGGCGAAGGCGGCGACCUGGGCCAAUACUGACGCUGAGGUGCGAAAGCGUGGGGAGCAAACCGG